Molecule: unclassified non-coding RNA, 234 nt
Filed under: Tetracladium marchalianum
Lineage: Eukaryota; Fungi; Ascomycota; Leotiomycetes; Helotiales
Description: partial internal transcribed spacer region
Rfam family: Eukaryotic small subunit ribosomal RNA (bases 1-46)
Source: RNAcentral
AAGUCGUAACAAGGUUUCCGUAGGUGAACCUGCGGAAGGAUCAUUACCGAGUUCGUGCCCUCGCGGGUAGAUCUCCCACCCUUUGUAUACUAUACCUUUGUUGCUUUGGCGGGCCGCCUAGCUACUGGCUUCGGCUGGUAAGUGCCCGCCAGAGGACCCAAAACCCUGAAUAUUAGUGUCGUCUGAGUAAAAUUUUAAUAUUUAAAACUUUCAACAACGGAUCUCUUGGCUCUG